GACGAACGCGGGCGGCGUGCCUAAUACAUGCAAGUAGAACGCACAGUUUAUACCGUAGCUUGCUACACCAUAAACUGUGAGUUGCGAACGGGUGAGUAACGCGUAGGUAACCUGCCUGGUAGCGGGGGAUAACUAUUGGAAACGAUAGCUAAUACCGCAUAAUAUUGAUUAUUGCAUGAUAAUUGAUUGAAAGAUGCUAUUGCAUCACUACCAGAUGGACCUGCGUUGUAUUAGCUAGUAGGUGAGGUAACGGCUCACCUAGGCGACGAUACAUAGCCGACCUGAGAGGGUGAUCGGCCACACUGGGACUGAGACACGGCCCAGACUCCUACGGGAGGCAGCAGUAGGGAAUCUUCGGCAAUGGACGAAAGUCUGACCGAGCAACGCCGCGUGAGUGAAGAAGGUUUUCGGAUCGUAAAGCUCGGUUGUAAGAGAAGAACGGGUGUGAGAGUGGAAAGUUCACACUGUGACGGUAUCUUACCAGAAAGGGCCGGCUCCCUACGUU
This 505-nucleotide ribosomal RNA is filed under the name uncultured bacterium. RNAcentral describes it as "partial 16S ribosomal RNA". It matches the Rfam family "Bacterial small subunit ribosomal RNA", at positions 28 to 507 of the family's 1533-position model. The record is from RNAcentral.